AUACCUACCUGGGAGGGGAGAUACCUUGAUCCCCGAGGUGUUUUUCCCAGGGCGAGGCUCAUCCUUUGCACUUGUGUUGACCCACGCUAUUUCCCCAAAUGAGGAAACCUCCACUGCAGAAUUUGUGGUAGUUGGGGACUGCAUUCACAUUCUGCCUAA
Small nuclear RNA from Ochotona curzoniae (black-lipped pika), 159 nucleotides. RefSeq annotates it as U1 spliceosomal RNA. The transcript has a single exon. The record is from RefSeq and is a predicted model, not a curated record. NCBI's taxonomy places the organism in Eukaryota, Metazoa, Chordata, Mammalia, Lagomorpha, Ochotonidae.